UCUUCAUUUCCCACACUAUCUCACCGGUCAGAGAGGCGAGAGAGAGUGUGCGAAAUGAAGAGA
Pristionchus pacificus is the source of this 63-nucleotide non-coding RNA. NCBI's taxonomy places the organism in Eukaryota, Metazoa, Nematoda, Chromadorea, Rhabditida, Neodiplogasteridae. The record is from Rfam.